RNAcentral lists this transfer RNA (72 nucleotides) under Phrynosoma platyrhinos (Desert horned lizard). Its description in RNAcentral is "tRNA-OTHER". It matches the Rfam family "tRNA". Rfam says of the family: Transfer RNA (tRNA) molecules are approximately 80 nucleotides in length. Lineage: Eukaryota; Metazoa; Chordata; Lepidosauria; Squamata; Phrynosomatidae. The record is from RNAcentral.
GCCAAUGUGAUGUAGUGGUUUGAGUGUUAGAUUAUGACUCUGGAGACCAGGGUUCAAUUCCCUGCGUGGCCA